Raphanus sativus (radish) is the source of this 1052-nucleotide RNA transcript. RefSeq lists it as uncharacterized. The transcript has 2 exons. NCBI's taxonomy places the organism in Eukaryota, Viridiplantae, Streptophyta, Magnoliopsida, Brassicales, Brassicaceae. The record is from RefSeq and is a predicted model, not a curated record.
UCCACGUAGCACAUUCAUUAAUCAUCAAAAGUUGUUUUCUCGAUCACUUAUGUCAAAUGGGCUUUGCUCUUAAUUUUCUGAAAUUCAUUAGGUUUUAACUUUUCCUCACACUGGCCCAAAAUUGUUAUGAUUUUUAUUUGUAUUCAAUGUUGACAAUGGAAAGUAGAAACUUUACGAAUCCCCUUCUUUGCCAAACUCGACGUAACCCUUCGUACAAUUAAUCCAGAAAUCUCGCUCAUCCCACUCCUUCCUAUUGAAUGCAGUUUUACUUACUGUUUUUCUCAGCUUCACUGAGUAUAUAUAGAUGGUGUGCGAGCCAGAGCGAUAACCUUUUAGUUUUCCCAAAUCAGAGCUUCUGUUAUUUCUCAGUGAAACCCUCUAAUCAUUGUGAAUUCCCAAUUUCAUUGCUCAGAGUUGAAGUCAUGGUUGUAUUGAUGUUCGAAAUAGGCUAAAGACUGUAUUUUCAUUCAUUCUCUAAAAAGCUUCUGAAGGGCGAAGGAGAAUAAAACAGAAUAGAGCUAGAGAGAGACAGUUAAUGCGAAAUUAACCCUAAAAACUGUUUCUUUUUUGCUUUGAUCUCAGGCUUUGAACUCAGGCUCAUGAUGCUGACGUGUAUAACGUGUAUGAAUCAGCUUAACACCACAAACAAUGGCGGAUCUAGGCUGCUACAAGAAGAUGAAGAAACAGAGACGCCAAGGACCAAGCAGGCGACUAAAUCUCUGACGUUGCAGCUUUCAAAUAGGAAUCUACUUGGAGACGCUUGGUCGGGAGGGAAGCAAAUCCAGAGGUAGCAGAUGCUGGAAAGAGAACGAGAAGUGGCUCUACGAUAUCAGUUAUAGAUAGGCUUAAUCUUCAACCAUAUAGUGUUCAUCAUGUAAGCAUAAUCACUCUCAUUCUAUUAUUUUAAAUCUCUUUCGAUUGAUCAGUAACAUCAUUAAAGUAACCUAUGAAUCUAAUGUUAUGAUCUGUCUGACACAUGAGAGUUGUGUAGAUUUGGAGACUUGGAAAACUCUUUUGUGACAUUUUAAAUGAUGUUUUUUUGUAAGAGAUUA